RNAcentral lists this long non-coding RNA (1237 nucleotides) under Vulpes vulpes (red fox). Its description in RNAcentral is "lncRNA (ENSVVUG00000020065.1)". Lineage: Eukaryota; Metazoa; Chordata; Mammalia; Carnivora; Canidae. The record is from RNAcentral.
CUGAUAGCUGCUUAAAUUUUGUUGAAUUGUUGUAAACUCCCCUGCCCCUAUCUGCAGUGAACCUCAUCGCUGUUUCUGACAAAGCAAUUGCUGUGCAUUGACAAGAAAAUCUGAGCAAAGCCAAUCCAGUCUGCAAUUGGCGUUUGUGGGACAACGCAGUGGAUGCAUUCUACUUGUGCCACUCGUGUGUCCUGCCAUGUGGGGCUGCCAGCUUCGAUGGGAAAAUUCUACUACGGGACUAUUUAAAAUACAUUUUAGGAUGGUGGUUCUUGGGCAGAAACAAUGAAGACACAUUUUUCUCACUUCCAUAGCACAAGGAAGACAAUAUCAGUGAUUUGUGCUGCCUGGUUAUCCAGUCUCUUUACCAACUUGGCUUAUUUGCUUGCUGCGAGAUAUGAACACUUAGGGCUGAAUGUGGCUCUCUUCUCUCUGGCCCAGUAAACUGAACAUGUAUGUCCAUUUAACUGCAGAACCAAACGAGCACAGUGGCAUAGAGCAACCACUAGGAAGAGGUGCUCGUAGUGCUAUUGGAAUCCGGCCAGCACGCUGUGAGAAGCCCACAUCACACGGAGAGACUCAAGGAGGAGAAAUGAGGCAGUCGGCUGAUAGCGCAAUUGAGCUCCAGGCCAUAGUGGGCUUUCCAGCCCAGCCAAGCCUUCAGAUGAUGGCAGCACCCCAGGUUAUAGAUACCAGACAGAGCAGAUAAACCACUCGACUGAACCCAGCCAUGCCACAGAACCACAAAAGAUAGCAAAUAGCAGCUUUGGUCUUAAGUGACUAUGUUUGGGAGUGGCUUGUUGCACAGAAAUAGAAAACUAAAACAAUGUCAAUUGAUUUUAUUCAUUUUAAUAAUCACCUACUAAUUCAUCAAAUAGCUAAAACUCAUGUCAUAAGAAAGGGGGCAUUUAUGUUAUGUCUAUAUCCUUGUAGGGACAGAGUGAUAGACAUCCUAUAUGCAUGUAUCUGGGCACCUGGGCAAACAGAUAUCUCUAGGUUAAAUUCCUAAAAUUAAAAUUCUUAUGAAAUGAUGUGUGAAUUUAAAAUUUGGGUAGAUAUUGCCAAAUCAUCCUCCAAAGGGGUCCUGCCACAUUUUGUAUUUCCACCAGAAAUGUAUGAAGGAGCCAGAUUCUCUGUACCCUUGCCUACAAGGGUAUGGGGAUAUAAUCAAACUUUUAAUCUUUCUUGUCCGACAGAUUAAAAAAAAAUUCAACCGUGUUGUGUUUUAGUUUACUUUUCU